UAGGAAACAUUGUUGCGGAAACAUUGUUUCCUACCAAUGUUUCGCCAUGUUUCCAAGAGUGGGCAAACACUAGGAAACUUUAGUGAGAAACAUAGGGAAACAUCAAAUGUUUCUGAAUUCGCUAGGAAACAUUUUUGCUUCUCGGGAAGCAAAUUUUGUUUCCGCAACAAUGUUUCCACGGGUGGGCAAACAGGGAAACAUUUGAGGAAACAUCGAGAAUCACA
Molecule: non-coding RNA, 224 nt
Organism: Paramuricea clavata
Lineage: Eukaryota; Metazoa; Cnidaria; Anthozoa; Malacalcyonacea; Plexauridae
Source: the annotation of a GenBank genome assembly